This 1471-nucleotide long non-coding RNA is filed under the name Apteryx owenii (little spotted kiwi). RNAcentral describes it as "lncRNA (ENSAOWG00000011856.1)". Lineage: Eukaryota; Metazoa; Chordata; Aves; Apterygiformes; Apterygidae. The record is from RNAcentral.
CCCCAACGCCCCGCCCACCCUUGACAGACUGGAGGCGACCGAUGAAUCCAAACAGACGGGUUUUACUGGGGGGAACCCGGACGCCUGGGCCCCUCCCGGACGCCUGGGCCCUUCCCGGACGCCUGGGCCCCUCCCGGACGCCUGGGCCCCUCCCGGACACCUGGGCCCCCCCAAGCAGGAAGGCACUAAGAUGCUCACGUGUGCGGAACCAGACCGGAAGGCACUUGGACGCUGGGGUUCCCCGGACGCCUGCAGCGCUCCGGCCUCCGGCGUCACCCGCGAGGCGAACGUCCCCUGCCGGGCCCACCCACCAUGCACCGGGGCGUCCCCAUCCCAUGAUGCACCGGGGCGUCCCCAUCCCACAAUGCACCGGGGCGCCCCCAUCCCACCAUGCACCGGGGCUGCCAGCCCACUACCCACUGGGGCACCUGGCCCACAAUGCCCUGGGAGCAGCAUCCCAUGAUGCACCGGGGCACCCCAUAUCCCACAAUGCACCACCACACUCCAAUCCCACAAUGCACCAGGGCAUCCCAACCCCUCAGUGUCCUGGGGCCACAGUCCCACAAUGCACUGGGGCUUCCAUCCCAUCAUGCCCUAGGUCCUCCCGUUUCCCAUGAUGCCCUGGGUCUCCCAUUUCCCACCAUGCCCCAGUCCCCCAUUUCCCAUGAUGCCCUGGGUCCCCCCAUUUCCCAUGAUGCCCUAGAUCUCCCAUUUCCCAUGAUGCCCCAGUCCCCCCAUUUCCCAUGAUGCCCCAGUCCCCCAUUUCCCAUCAUGCCCUGGGUCCUCCCAUUUCCCAUCAUGCCCCAGGUCCCCCCAUUUCCCAUCAUGCCCCAGGUCCUUCCAUUUCCAUGAUUCCCCAGUUCCCCUGUUUCCCAUCAUGCCCCGGGUCCCCCCAUUUCCCAUGAUGCCCCAGUCCCCCCGUUUCCCAUCAUGCCCCGGGCCCCCCUGUUUCCCAUGAUGCCCCAGGUCCCACCUGGGGCCAGUCCAGCAGCGCCGCCAGCAUCUGCCCCGUCUGGUUGCAGUCGUCAUCGAUGGCCUGGGGGAGACGCGGGGACACGCGUGACGGGGACACGUGGGGGACACGCAAGCACAUGGGACACAGGAGACAUGGGGGACACGCGGGGGACACGCAUGACGGGGACACGGGACAUGCAGGGGACACGCGGGGGACACGCGGGCACGUAGGACGCAGGAAACAUGGGGAUCACACGGUGGACACGCAUGAUGGGACACAGGACACGCAGGGGACACGCGUGACAAGGGCAGGGGACACGCGGGGGACACACGAGCACAUGGGACACGCAGGAGACAUGGGGGGACACGUGGCGGACACGUGUGACAAGGACACAGGACACGCAGGGCACAUGCAGGGGACACACAUGACAAGGACAUGGGACACGCGGGGGACACGCGAGCACACGGAGCCGUUGCAGGGCCCAGGGGCUCUAUAGGGGCCGGUAAAGCCCCCAGG